RNAcentral lists this ribosomal RNA (884 nucleotides) under Sordariomycetes sp. 'Ascocollumdensa aquatica'. Its description in RNAcentral is "LSU rRNA". It matches the Rfam family "Eukaryotic large subunit ribosomal RNA", at positions 61 to 974 of the family's 3401-position model. Lineage: Eukaryota; Fungi; Ascomycota; Sordariomycetes. The record is from RNAcentral.
GAAACCAACAGGGAUUUCCCCAGUAACGGCGAGUGAAGCGGCAACAGCUCAGAUUUUAAAUCCGGGCCCUGGACCAGAGUUGUAAUCUGUAGGGGUAGCUUCGGGCGCGGCGUCUUCUGAGUCCCCUGGAACGGGGCGCCACAGAGGGUGAGAGCCCCGUACGGUCGACCGCUAAGCCCGUGUGAAGCUCCUCCGACGAGUCGAGUAGUUUGGGAGUGCUGCUCAAAACGGGAGGUGAAUGUCGUCUAAAGCUAAAUACCGGCCAGAGACCGAUAGCGCACAAGUAGAGUGAUCGAAAGAUGAAAAGCACUUUGAAAAGAGGGUUAAAAAGUACGUGAAAUUGUUGAAAGGGAAGCGCCCGUGACCAGACUUGCGCCCGGCGGCUCCGUAGGCCUUCUGGCCUGCGUACUCCGCCGGGCUCAGGCCAGCAUCGGCCUCCGCAGGGGACAAAAACAGCGGGAACGUGGCCUCCUUCGGGGAGUGUUAUAGCCCGCUGUAGAAUUGCCUGCGGGGACCGAGGUUCGCGCUCUGCAAGGAUGCUGGCGUAAUGGUCAUCGGCGACCCGUCUUGAAACACGGACCAAGGAGUCAAACGUUUGUGCGAGUGUUUGGGUGUCAAACCCCCUACGCGUAAUGAAAGUGAACGGAGGUGAGAGCCCCCGCGGCGCAUCAUCGACCGAUCCUGAUGUCUUCGGAUGGAUUUGAGUAAGAGCAUAGCCGUUUGGACCCGAAAGAUGAUGAACUAUGCCUGUAUAGGGUGAAGCCAGAGGAAACUCUGGUGGAGGCUCGCAGCGGUUCUGACGUGCAAAUCGAUCGUCAAAUAUGGGCAUGGGGGCGAAAGACUAAUCGGAUCAUCUAGUUGUGGUUCACAGCCAAGUUUUCCUU